GUCCACUGCUCGUAAAAUGGUUAGCUAGCUAAGUGCUAGAAGGACAAAUACAAAAACUCGACAUGGAAGGCCGGCUAUGGAGCUCACAUUUACCGGUAUUUCUCCUGGAGUCACAUGUUGACAGGGGUCCCCAGAUCAGAAGAAUCAAAAGGGUUUUCAGAAAAGUUAAUCCAAAGAGAUUAGACUCCUGGCUGAGCGACUGACCACCACUGCUGCAGAUGGGACGACUACACUGGGAGUACAGGAUCACCAUCUCCCUGUCUGCCUGCUUGCUCUGCUUGCCGAGGACAGUUUUCAGCCACCCGCAUCCACACCAAUUGUCACUCCCUUCUGAACCUUGUAAUAAACCUGUUAAC
Long non-coding RNA from Epinephelus moara (kelp grouper), 356 nucleotides. RefSeq lists it as uncharacterized. The record is from RefSeq and is a predicted model, not a curated record. NCBI's taxonomy places the organism in Eukaryota, Metazoa, Chordata, Actinopteri, Perciformes, Serranidae. The transcript has 4 exons.